GAUGAACGCUAGCUACAGGCUUAACACAUGCAAGUCGAGGGGAAACGAUAUUGGAAGCUUGCUUUUUCUAGGCGUCGACCGGCGCACGGGUGAGUAACGCGUAUCCAACCUGCCCACCACUUGGGGAUAACCUUGCGAAAGUAAGACUAAUACCCAAUGAUAUCUCUAGAAGACAUCUGAAAGGGAUUAAAGAUUUAUCGGUGAAGGAUGGGGAUGCGUCUGAUUAGCUUGUUGGCGGGGUAACGGCCCACCAAGGCGACGAUCAGUAGGGGUUCUGAGAGGAAGGUCCCCCACAUUGGAACUGAGACACGGUCCAAACUCCUACGGGAGGCAGCAGUGAGGAAUAUUGGUCAAUGGGCGAGAGCCUGAACCAGCCAAGUAGCGUGCAGGAUGACGGCCCUAUGGGUUGUAAACUGCUUUUAUAAGGGAAUAAAGUGAGCCUCGUGAGGCUUUUUGCAUGUACCUUAUGAAUAAGGACCGGCUAAUUCCGUGCCAGCCGCCGCGGUAA
This 508-nucleotide ribosomal RNA is filed under the name uncultured bacterium. Its description in RNAcentral is "partial 16S ribosomal RNA". It matches the Rfam family "Bacterial small subunit ribosomal RNA", at positions 28 to 523 of the family's 1533-position model. The record is from RNAcentral.